RNAcentral lists this long non-coding RNA (1171 nucleotides) under Piliocolobus tephrosceles (Ugandan red Colobus). Its description in RNAcentral is "lncRNA (ENSPTEG00000002612.1)". Lineage: Eukaryota; Metazoa; Chordata; Mammalia; Primates; Cercopithecidae. The record is from RNAcentral.
ACAUAACAAAUAUAAAUAGUCUUCACAGUUUUAAAGAAAAAGAAAUAAAAAAUCCUAAAAAUUUAAUACAGGAAGAAAAUGAAAUUACAAAGAAUAAACAAAAAAAAAAUAAUUCCGAAUAUCAUACAAUUACAACAGAUGAUUGUAUAAUCGAAACGGAACAAAAUAAAUUUGAGUCUGAUAAAAAUAAUUUAAACAAAAAAAUGAGUACAAACAACAAAGACUCUAACUCUAAUCAUGAUGCAAUGAAGUCCUUAAACGAAUGUAUUAUCGAAAUAAAAAAAAAAAAACUAAAAAGUUAUUUAAAAAGUAAAUUAAAAAGGUUAUACUUUGGUAAUAAAUAUACUACAGGAUAUAUCGACGAAAAUAUACGUUAUUGGGCUCACACAGAUAGAAAAAACAUUUAUAGUGAUACCGAGAUUGAUGAAGAGGAGGAUGAGGAGGAGGAGAAAGCAGAAGAAGAAGCAGAAGCAGAAGCAGAAGAAGAAGAAGAAGAAGAAAAAGAAGAAGAAGAAGAAGCAGAAGAAGAAGCAGAAGCAGAAGCAGAAGAAGAAGCAGAAGCAGAAGCAGAAGCAGAAGAAGAAGGUGGGAUUUACAAUGGGAAUGUUGAGACAGGUGAAUUAAAUGGUCAAUCUAGUCACUCCGACAAUCCUAGCCAAUCUGGACAAUCUAGUUAUUAUGAAGAGGCUAGUCAAGGUUGGCAUUCUAAUCAACACGAACCUAUACAAAUUAGAAAAUGUAACAUACAUAAUAAACGUAGCAAAUAUAAAAAAAAGGAACAGUCAAAUAAAACAAGGAAAUUGAACAAUUUACGAAACAAAAAGUACUGUUAUUUUAAUUAUGCCGUUUUUGAUAUUAGUACAAAAAACACAAGCACGUAUAAUAACUUAAUUGUUAAAUUAAAUAAUCUAGGUAUUAUGACAGAAGUCUGGGGAUUCUCUUCUUUUCUCCAAGGUAUAGCCCUUAUAUAUCCCCAAAACAUAUCUACUUACCCACAUUGGCAUUUUUAUACAUGUCCUGAUUUAAUACAAUUCGAAAAUAACAAAAAAAAAGAAAAGGCGGUGAAAAAUAGGAAUAGUAAAAAUAAUAGACGCAGUAAUAAACGUCAUAACAAAUAUAACGGAUGUUGUGAUUAUGAUGAUUAUUAUAGCAGUCAUAAAAAAUGUAACAA